This 682-nucleotide long non-coding RNA is filed under the name Felis catus (domestic cat). Its description in RNAcentral is "lncRNA (ENSFCAG00000043825.2)". The record is from RNAcentral. Lineage: Eukaryota; Metazoa; Chordata; Mammalia; Carnivora; Felidae.
CACGUCUGUUGGGCUGAACACAGAAAAUAGCAUUCAACUACUCUGCUUAAGCAAGGAUGUUCAAUUAAUAGUUUUAGCACUGCCCCAUCCCCGUUUUAUGGCCGAAGGCACUGUGGCUUUGGAGAUAAAGGAUCUUGAGUGAGGAAGUGAAGUCACUGCAUCCUGGAAACAGCUGUGAUGUAUUCAACCCCAAAGUCAAGGUGCUCGUCUUGGUCUUGAACCAUCUGGGGCCUCCCUGACACUUAGGGUGCAGUGGUCGAGAAGAAGCAAAUCAAGUUGAAGUCCUUGCUAGCUACUCACAAGCAUACAAAGUUGCCAGCAGGAGACUGGAGCCUGCUGGCUCUGGGACCAAGCAGAUUUUCAUGACAACAAAACAAAUCUCCACAACGGAUGAGUUACUCCUGUGACUCUGUUGACUUUCUGGUAGAUGGAAUCCUUUCUUCAGGCCUUCAGUGCCCUACCUGAAUACAGUUGAGAAUUGGUGUAAAGAUGGCCCUCGGCAUGACAGGAUCCUGGGUGGCACUUCCUACUAGCCUUUGGUGUUUACAUAGGGUGUAAUUGGGCUGUCAUACUGCCCAGCCAUGCAGGGCACCAUUCACAACCCACUUGAACAAACAUGGCAGCUCUGGAAGGAAUGGUGAUUAAAAACCACAGCUGACCAGUCCUGUGAGCUUUGGCAAAG